UCGACGAAGGGACCCAUUGAUGGUGGAGUGCUUGCACAAAGCCUGAUUUGGAAUUUUCCCUUAGUGGCAAACGGGUGAGUAACACGUGGGUUACCUGCCUCAAAGCUGGGGAUAACGUUUGGAAACGAACGCUAAUACCGAAUGUGCUCUACGGAGUAAAGAAGCCCUUAAAGCUUCACUUUGAGAUGGGCCUGCGGCGCAUUAGCUAGUUGGUGGGGUAAUGGCCUACCAAGGCAACGAUGCGUAGCCGAACUGAGAGGUUGAUCGGCCACACUGGGACUGAGACACGGCCCAGACUCCUACGGGAGACAGCAGUUAGGAAUAUUCGUCAAUGGGGGAAACCCUGAACGAGCAAUGCCGCGUGAACGAUGAAGGCCCUCUGGGUUGUAAAGUUCUGUUGUUAUGGAAGAACUGUAAGAUUAGGAAAUGAAUCUUACUUGACGGUACAUUUCAAGAAAGCCACGGCUAACUACGUGCCAGCAGCCGCGGUAAUACGUAGGUGGCGAGCGUUAUCCGGAAUUACUGGGUGUAAAGGGAGCGUAGACGGUUAAGUAAGUCUGGAGUGAAAGGCCGGGGCCCAACCCCGGGACUGCUCUGGAAACUAUUCAACUUGAGUGCAGGAGAGGUAAGCGGAAUUCCUAGUGUAGCGGUGAAAUGCGUAGAUAUUAGGAGGAACACCAGUGGCGAAGGCGGCUUACUGGACUGUAACUGACGUUGAGG
This 720-nucleotide ribosomal RNA is filed under the name uncultured bacterium. RNAcentral's name for it is "bacterial SSU rRNA". It matches the Rfam family "Bacterial small subunit ribosomal RNA", at positions 62 to 751 of the family's 1533-position model. The record is from RNAcentral.